GUGUUGUAUUGUGGACUGACAUAAACGAAGAUCUUCGGUAAUGACGACGCUGAGGCCAACGUUUGCUUCUUGAUUGGGUCUAGCAGAUAUGACGUGUCCUUCCCUGAUUUGUCACGCCCCUAUUACGUGACCCUUUCCCGGAAGAAAACAAGAUGGAGAUGCACCAGGAUGAAAAGCCUGGAGCUGCUGGAGGUUCUGCUGAUGAUGGCCCGAGAACUCAACACCGUCCAGAGCUUGCUUGAUCAUCCCCAUCACCAGGUCUUUCUCUGAGGGUACAUCACAUCACAUAAUACCAGGAAAAGAGACACGGACCACAAUGUCCUGGGUGAAAUGUUCUCUAUUUGUUGAACCAUCCACCACCCCAACCUACCUCCUUCAUUUCACGCUUACGGGCUAUUACAGGGGGCCACUAGAGGGCGCCGUCAUGAUAAAUGUAAAUAUAGGUCAUAAUUGCUUGAACAAACGACUUAUGGGAACAUUUUUCGGGGGAAGGACAGUCUCUUAGGAGUAAAAUAUGACAUAGCUGUGCUUCAUUUCAAUCCCAAACUACCCUACUGGAAGAGGUCAACAUCAGUGGAGGAGUUUUUCACCAUUAGUUC
This is a long non-coding RNA of Sander lucioperca (pikeperch), 599 nucleotides long. RefSeq lists it as uncharacterized. The transcript is spliced from 3 exons. NCBI's taxonomy places the organism in Eukaryota, Metazoa, Chordata, Actinopteri, Perciformes, Percidae. The record is from RefSeq and is a predicted model, not a curated record.